AUGGGUUCCAAAAACUAUUCUGUGAAGAAUAUCCUUGAGUUAUGUUUACUUUCGUAUCUAUUCCUUCCCAUAUAUGCCAGAACUUGUCCCUAGUAUGUGAAGGGACACCAGAAUUAAAAAGAGAUGCUAAUCAUUUAGCAAAGAUCAAAUAUAUAAGGGAGUAAAAGUAAGAGAGUGUGAUAAAAGGGGUCUUAGAGAAGUUAAGAUAACAUGUUGGGAAUUCAUAGGUGUGAGAAGUAGAAAGUCUGGUGGUUCAUUUUCAAAAUAUAAUAUUUAGCUUUAAUUGGGAUAUAAGAUCCAGUGACAGCCAUUUUGAUUAUAGUGUUUUCCUUUGUUCUACGAAAGUUUAAAAUUAGCCAAUUGCAUUGUAAUCCCGAGCUCCUCCUUUCAGAGCAAGGGGCAGUGAUUACUUCAGGAAUUAAAAACAGGUGGACUGCUCACCCUAGCAUGCUUGCUUGCCGGACUUUGUUCAGUAAUACAUUCUUUCACAGAAGAAAAGUUUGCCUUAUUGAGUAACUUUUGAGGAUGUGUCUGAUUUCUGUGGCAUCCUGAUAUUUCUAACAUAGGGAAGAGAGAUUCUGAUCAUGGCAAGCAUUUUCAGGUUAUGACCAAAUUAUAAAGAAGACUUGAGAGCUCCAGUAAAUAGAUUUUAUGUAAUAAGCUUUUUGCCUUAUAAGCUUUUACUUUUGUAAUAUUAUAUAUAAAUGAAACUAAUAGAACAAGAAAAUUAAAUAGCUUUUGGGUGGGUAUUGCAAAAGAGGAAUGAAUUAGAAGCAAGUUUAAAACAAUAUGUCAAAGAUAUGAAAGCAACAUUUAGAACAUGCUCGUGUCUGUGAGACAUCUCUUGGGGACUUUUAACCAUUCUUUUCUAAAGAAAACUCCAAACAUCAUUAAUAUAUAAAAAUCAGAGUGUUAAAGCGGGUGUUAGGAGCCAAAGAAAAGUCAUUCAGAUGGCAUUUAAUUUAUGUAGUAUCUUAAGCAUUUUUUCAAAGUUCAAGGAAAGACUAUUUAAGACUGCCUUUUUGUGUGUGUCAUGCUGGGAAUUGAACCCAGGGCUUUGUGCACGUGAGGCUCAAGCACUCUACCAACUGAGAUAUAUCGCCAGCCUUUAAGACUAAUUCUUAAUUUUUUUGAGGUCCAAUCUUUUUGUUACUUUUCAAAAUUUCUUAAUUUUGACUGGACUAAGUAGAAACUCUGAGAGAAGACAACCUGCAUCUUUUCACAAUCUGUUUCUCUCAUUUUUCUUCUGUUGUCCAAAAGCAUAUGCUUUAG
Molecule: long non-coding RNA, 1272 nt
Filed under: Marmota monax (woodchuck)
Lineage: Eukaryota; Metazoa; Chordata; Mammalia; Rodentia; Sciuridae
Source: RNAcentral